UUUUUGAUAAUAAUUUAAAGUAGGGCCUGCCCACUGAAUUUUUAAAGGGCCGCAGUAUUUUGACUGUGCAAAGGUAGCAUAAUCAUUAGUUUUUUAAUUGAAAGCUUGUAUGAAUGGUUUGAUGAAAAAAUAACUUUCUAUAUUUAAAUUUUAAAAAAUUUUAUUAUUAAGUUAAAAAGCUUAAAUUUUUUUAAUAGACGAGAAGACCCUAUAGAGUUUUAUUUGAUUAAUCAUUUAAAUUUUUAGAAUUAAAAAAUUUUUAUUUUUAAUUAAAUUUGGUUGGGGUGACUGAAAAAUUAAAAAAACUUUUUUUUAUUAGUUACAUUAAUUUAUGAAUUAUUGAUCCAUAUUAAUGAUUAUAAGAAUAAAUUACCUUAGGGAUAACAGCGUUAUUUUUUUUUAGAGUUCAAAUCGAAAAAAGAGAUUGCGACCUCGAUGUUGGAUUAAAGUUAAUUUUAGGUGUAGAAGCUUAAAAAUUUGGUCUGUUCGACCAUUAAAACUUUACA
RNAcentral lists this ribosomal RNA (506 nucleotides) under Lioadalia sp. EQ-02.13. RNAcentral's name for it is "partial large subunit ribosomal RNA". The stretch from base 380 to 506 matches the Rfam family "Bacterial large subunit ribosomal RNA", at positions 2473 to 2600 of the family's 2925-position model. Lineage: Eukaryota; Metazoa; Arthropoda; Insecta; Coleoptera; Coccinellidae. The record is from RNAcentral.